AUCUCAGUUCGGAUUGUAGUCUGNAACCCGACUACAUGAAGCUGGAAUCGCUAGUAAUCGCAGAUCAGAAUGCUGCGGUGAAUACGUUCCCGGGUCUUGUACACACCGCCCGUCACACCAUGGGAGUUGGAAAUGCCCGAAGCCAGUGACCCAACCGUAAGGAGGGAGCUGUCGAAGGUGGAGCCGAUGACUGGGGUGAAGUCGUAACAAGGUAGC
Molecule: ribosomal RNA, 216 nt
Filed under: uncultured bacterium
Lineage: Bacteria
Description: partial 16S ribosomal RNA
Rfam family: Bacterial small subunit ribosomal RNA
Source: RNAcentral